Long non-coding RNA from Aegilops tauschii subsp. strangulata, 1090 nucleotides. RefSeq lists it as uncharacterized. The record is from RefSeq and is a predicted model, not a curated record. Lineage: Eukaryota; Viridiplantae; Streptophyta; Magnoliopsida; Poales; Poaceae.
CUGUUUCUCCAUCCGCCGCCACCACACCUCGCCUCUCCUCUGCUCGCCCCGUCCUCUGCCUCAACCUCCCCGCCUCGAAGCGACGAUGACGGCCCGAGAUCCAUGGCGACAGCGGCUGCAGCGGCCCGAUGGAAGGGGCGGCCAAUCCUAGCCGCUGUGGCGCGCCUCAGCUGCUCACAACCCAUGACCUGGGCCAUGGAUCUACGGCAGGGACCUCCCUCCUCCGUCUCCCAGGCCGCGCAACUGCCUCGCCAUCCGGAGAUUUGGAGCAGCAAGGGCCGGAUGAGGAGAGGACGACGACCGUGACCCGAGCUGGACCUCGCCGGCGACGUCGACACCCGCACAAGAUCAGCGGGAGCUCUCCACCUCUCCACUUCGAUGGAUGGCAACGAUCGGGACCCCACGCUCGAGCCAGAUGAGCUCGAUGGCUAGGAGCCCCGACAACCAUGAUUCCCCAGAGAACAAGAAGGUCUAUCUCAUGGACACCCAGAUUUUGUAUGCAAUUUUCUCAACACCAUCGCGUUACCCACUGCUGGUGGUAAUUUUGCAUCGCCACUUAUUAAUUUUUUUUAUUAUUGUUACUGUCAAAUACUAAUUCUUCAGCUGUACGCUUGAUAAUUGUUGAUGAUCUCUUAGGGUUGCAAGCGAAAUGUAUCCUUGGGCAAAAUGUCCACGUUCUUAGAUAGGUCCAUUACUGUCUCCUUCAUAGCCUUUUGGUUUUAUUAUUUUCACUAUAUACCUUUUUUUUUCUUAUUCAAGGUAUAUCCAAUUUCUUAAUGCUCUAAUAGGGUAGGUUCUGGGUUGGUUAACCUCAUUGAAGCAAAUUGUUUGUACCCAAAGGUGCCAUUCUGUCAAAUAUUGACAAGUUGAUUCAUGCCUACUUACAAGGCUGGAAAAGUAAUGUAUUACUGGACCUAUCCCAGAAUUGUUGAUUCAUGCCUACUUACAAGGCUGGAAAAGUAAUGUAUUACUGGACCUAUCCCAGAAUUGUUGAUUCAUUUCGUGGAGGAUUUUGUAAACUCCAAUGUUAUAGAUGCUUGCAGAUGACUGCAUAUAUUGAUUCAUAUGUGCACAUGAAGCACUUUGGAAA